UUUUUAGGGGGUCAAACUGUACGCGAUAUGUGCCAAUAUAUAAAAUUCAUAAGCGUAUAGCUUUUCCCCUUAAAAG
Molecule: microRNA precursor, 76 nt
Filed under: Drosophila busckii
Lineage: Eukaryota; Metazoa; Arthropoda; Insecta; Diptera; Drosophilidae
Description: mir-965 microRNA precursor family
Rfam family: mir-965 microRNA precursor family
Source: Rfam by way of RNAcentral